Molecule: ribosomal RNA, 253 nt
Filed under: uncultured bacterium
Lineage: Bacteria
Description: partial 16S ribosomal RNA
Rfam family: Bacterial small subunit ribosomal RNA
Source: RNAcentral
UACGAAGGGGGCGAGCGUUGUCCGGAAUUAUUGGGCGUAAAGGGCUCGUAGGCGGUUUGUCGCGUCGGGAGUGAAAACCCAGGGCUUAACUCUGGGCUUGCUUUCGAUACGGGCAGACUAGAGGUAUGCAGGGGAGAACGGAAUUCCUGGUGUAGCGGUGAAAUGCGCAGAUAUCAGGAGGAACACCGGUGGCGAAGGCGGUUCUCUGGGCAUUACCUGACGCUGAGGAGCGAAAGUGUGGGGAGCGAACAGG